GAUGAACGCUAGCGGGAGGCUUAACACAUGCAAGUCGAGGGGCAGCAUUAGGUAGCAAUACUUAGAUGGCGACCGGCGCACGGGUGAGUAACACGUAUGCAACCUACCCAGUACAGGGGGACAACCCGGAGAAAUUCGGACUAAUACCCCAUAAAGAUAUAAAAAGGCAUCUUUUAAUAUUUAAAGCUACGGCGGUACUGGAUGGGCAUGCGCAACAUUAGCUAGUUGGCAGGGUAACGGCCUACCAAGGCUACGAUGUUUAGGGGACCUGAGAGGGUGAUCCCCCACACUGGUACUGAGACACGGACCAGACUCCUACGGGAGGCAG
Molecule: ribosomal RNA, 328 nt
Filed under: uncultured Bacteroidota bacterium
Lineage: Bacteria; Pseudomonadati; Bacteroidota
Description: bacterial SSU rRNA
Rfam family: Bacterial small subunit ribosomal RNA
Source: RNAcentral